Molecule: ribosomal RNA, 501 nt
Filed under: uncultured bacterium
Lineage: Bacteria
Description: partial 16S ribosomal RNA
Rfam family: Bacterial small subunit ribosomal RNA
Source: RNAcentral
AUUGAACGCUGGCGGCAGGCUUAACACAUGCAAGUCGAGCGGAGAUGAGGUGCUUGCACCUUAUCUUAGCGGCGGACGGGUGAGUAAUGCUUAGGAAUCUGCCUAUUAGUGGGGGACAACAUUCCGAAAGGAAUGCUAAUACCGCAUACGUCCCACGGGAGAAAGCAGGGGAUCUUCGGACCUUGCGCUAAUAGAUGAGCCUAAGUCGGAUUAGCUAGUUGGUGGGGUAAAGGCCUACCAAGGCGACGAUCUGUAGCGGGUCUGAGAGGAUGAUCCGCCACACUGGGACUGAGACACGGCCCAGACUCCUACGGGAGGCAGCAGUGGGGAAUAUUGGACAAUGGGGGGAACCCUGAUCCAGCCAUGCCGCGUGUGUGAAGAGGGCCUUAUGGUUGUAAAGCACUUUAAGCGAGGAGGAGGCUACUGAGACUAAUACUCUUGGAUAGUGGACGUUACUCGCAGAAUAAGCACCGGCUAACUCUGUGCCAGCAGCCGCGGUAA